Molecule: ribosomal RNA, 510 nt
Filed under: uncultured bacterium
Lineage: Bacteria
Description: bacterial SSU rRNA
Rfam family: Bacterial small subunit ribosomal RNA
Source: RNAcentral
CUGGCUCAGGAUGAACGCUAGCUACAGGCUUAACACAUGCAAGUCGAGGGGCAGCAUGAUCUUAGCUUGCUAAGAUGAUGGCGACCGGCGCACGGGUGAGUAACGCGUAUCCAACCUUCCCUAUAGUAGAGGAUAGCCCGGCGAAAGUCGGAUUAAUACUCUAUGUUAUUCAAUGCGGACAUCUAAGUUGAAUCAAAGGUUUACCGCUAUAGGAUGGGGAUGCGUCUAAGUUAGGUUGUUGGCGGGGUAACGGCCCACCAAGCCUUCGAUCAGUAGGGGUUCUGAGAGGAAGGUCCCCCACAUUGGAACUGAGACACGGUCCAAACUCCUACGGGAGGCAGCAGUGAGGAAUAUUGGUCAAUGGGCGAGAGCCUGAACCAGCCAAGUAGCGUGCAGGAAGACGGCCCUAUGGGUUGUAAACUGCUUUUAUACAGGGAUAAAGUGUGCCACGUGUGGCGUUUUGUAGGUACUGUAUGAAUAAGGACCGGCUAAUUCCGUGCCAGCAGCCGC